UCUAAUUCGGGAGAGGGUAGCGGGGGAAGACGUAGGCGGCCAGCGUGGUUCGGGAUGACUGGGGGUAAAGGGUCAGUGGGCGGUGUGGCAAGUCGGGAGUGAAAGCUCCGGGCUCAACUCAGAGGCUGGUUGCGAAACUGCUGUGCUUGAGUGUGGGAGAGGCGCGUGGAAUUGCAGGUGUAGCGGUGAAAUGCGUAGAUAGCUGCAGGAACACCCGUGGCGAAAGCGGCGCGCUGGACCACAACUGACGCUGAAUGACGAAAGCUAGGGGAGCAAACAGGAUUAGAUACCCGAGUAGUC
This 300-nucleotide ribosomal RNA is filed under the name uncultured Halobellus sp. RNAcentral describes it as "bacterial SSU rRNA". It matches the Rfam family "Bacterial small subunit ribosomal RNA", at positions 496 to 795 of the family's 1533-position model. Lineage: Archaea; Methanobacteriati; Methanobacteriota; Halobacteria; Halobacteriales; Haloferacaceae. The record is from RNAcentral.